CUAUGCGCCUUGCCAGCCCGCUCAGGUGUGCCAGCCGCCGCGGUAAUACGUAUGGUGCGAGCGUUGUCCGGAUUUACUGGGCGUGAAGGGGGCGCAGGCGGCGCGCCAAGCCCGAUGUGAAAGCCCGGGGCUCAACCCCGGGACUGCAUUGGGAACUGGCGUGCUGGAGUGCCGGAGGGGCAGGCGGAAUUCCUGGUGUAGCGGUGAAAUGCGUAGAUAUCAGGAGGAACACCGGUGGCGAAGGCGGCCUGCUGGACGGAUACUGACGCUGAGGCCCGAAAGCGUGGGGAGCGAACAGG
This 299-nucleotide ribosomal RNA is filed under the name uncultured bacterium. RNAcentral describes it as "partial 16S ribosomal RNA". It matches the Rfam family "Bacterial small subunit ribosomal RNA", at positions 475 to 776 of the family's 1533-position model. The record is from RNAcentral.